This 506-nucleotide ribosomal RNA is filed under the name uncultured cyanobacterium. Its description in RNAcentral is "bacterial SSU rRNA". It matches the Rfam family "Bacterial small subunit ribosomal RNA", at positions 115 to 655 of the family's 1533-position model. The record is from RNAcentral. Lineage: Bacteria; Bacillati; Cyanobacteriota.
GCGUGAGAAUCUGCCCUCAGGAGGGGGAUAACGGCUGAAAACGGCCGCUAAUACCCCAUAUGCCGAGAGGUGAAAUGAAUUUCGCCUGAGGAUGAGCUCGCGUCUGAUUAGCUAGUCGGUGGGGUAAGAGCCUACCAAGGCUUCGAUCAGUAGCUGGUCUGAGAGGAUGAUCAGCCACACUGGGACUGAGACACGGCCCAGACUCCUACGGGAGGCAGCAGUGGGGAAUUUUCCGCAAUGGGCGAAAGCCUGACGGAGCAACGCCGCGUGAGGGAUGAAGGCCUCUGGGCUGUAAACCUCUUUUCUCAAGGAAGAAGAUCUGACGGUACUUGAGGAAUAAGCCACGGCUAAUUCCGUGCCAGCAGCCGCGGUAAUACGGGAGUGGCAAGCGUUAUCCGGAAUUAUUGGGCGUAAAGCGUCCGCAGGCGGCCUCGUAAGUCUGUCGUUUANGCGUGGAGCNGAACUCCAUUUCAGCGAUGGAAACUGCGAGGCUAGAGUGUGUAGGG